CCUACGGGCGGCAGCAGUGGGGAAUAUUGGACAAUGGGCGAAAGCCUGAUCCAGCCAUGCCGCGUGUGUGAAGAAGGCCUUCGGGUUGUAAAGCACUUUCAGUGGGGAAGAAAGCCUUGGGGCUAAUACCCUCGAGGAAGGACAUCACCCACAGAAGAAGCACCGGCUAACUCCGUGCCAGCAGCCGCAGGUAAUACGGAGGGUGCGAGCGUUAAUCGGAAUUACUGGGCGUAAAGCGCGCGUAGGCGGUCUGAUAAGCCGGUUGUGAAAGCCCCGGGCUCAACCUGGGAACGGCAUCCGGAACUGUCAGGCUAGAGUGCAGGAGAGGAAGGUAGAAUUCCCGGUGUAGCGGUGAAAUGCGUAGAGAUCGGGAGGAAUACCAGUGGCGAAGGCGGCCUUCUGGACUGACACUGACGCUGAGGUGCGAAAGCGUGGGUAGCAAACAGGAUUAGAUACCCGGGUAGUC
This 466-nucleotide ribosomal RNA is filed under the name Vreelandella stevensii. RNAcentral describes it as "partial 16S ribosomal RNA". It matches the Rfam family "Bacterial small subunit ribosomal RNA", at positions 338 to 795 of the family's 1533-position model. The record is from RNAcentral. Lineage: Bacteria; Pseudomonadati; Pseudomonadota; Gammaproteobacteria; Oceanospirillales; Halomonadaceae.